UAAUACGGAGGGGGCUAGCGUUGCUCGGAAUUACUGGGCGUAAAGCGCGCGUAGGCGGCGAAUCAAGUUAGGCGUGAAAGCCCUAGGCUCAACCUAGGAAUUGCGUUUGAUACUGAUUUGCUAGAGUCCGAGAGAGGGUGGCGGAAUUUCCAGUGUAGAGGUGAAAUUCGUAGAUAUUGGAAAGAACACCAGUGGCGAAGGCGGCCACCUGGCUCGGUACUGACGCUGAGGUGCGAAAGCGUGGGGAGCGAACAGGAUUAGAUACCCUGGUAGUCCACGCCGUAAACGAUGAGUGCUAGGUGUCGGGCAGCAUGCUGUUCGGUGCCGUAGUUAACGCGUUAAGCACUCCGCCUGGGGAGUACGGCCGCAAGGUUA
Molecule: ribosomal RNA, 375 nt
Filed under: uncultured Alphaproteobacteria bacterium
Lineage: Bacteria; Pseudomonadati; Pseudomonadota; Alphaproteobacteria
Description: bacterial SSU rRNA
Rfam family: Bacterial small subunit ribosomal RNA
Source: RNAcentral